UCGGGUGAUUAGCUCAGUUGGUAGAGCAGCUGACUCUUAAUCAGCGGGUCCACGGUUCGAGCCCGUGAUCACCCACCA
This 78-nucleotide transfer RNA is filed under the name Sinorhizobium meliloti 2011. Its description in RNAcentral is "tRNA-Lys". It matches the Rfam family "tRNA". Rfam says of the family: Transfer RNA (tRNA) molecules are approximately 80 nucleotides in length. Their secondary structure includes four short double-helical elements and three loops (D, anti-codon, and T loops). The record is from RNAcentral. Lineage: Bacteria; Pseudomonadati; Pseudomonadota; Alphaproteobacteria; Hyphomicrobiales; Rhizobiaceae.